This 500-nucleotide ribosomal RNA is filed under the name uncultured bacterium. RNAcentral's name for it is "bacterial SSU rRNA". It matches the Rfam family "Bacterial small subunit ribosomal RNA", at positions 28 to 507 of the family's 1533-position model. The record is from RNAcentral.
GACGAACGCUGGCGGCGUGCCUAAUACAUGCAAGUCGAGCGGAAUGAUGAAGAAGCUUGCUUUUUCUGAUUUUAGCGGCGGACGGGUGAGUAACACGUGGGCAACCUACCUUGUAGAUUGGGAUAACUCCGGGAAACCGGGGCUAAUACCGAAUAAUCCAUUUUGCUUCAUGGCGAGAUGUUGAAAGACGGUUUCGGCUGUCACUAUAAGAUGGGCCCGCGGCGCAUUAGCUAGUUGGUAGGGUAAUGGCCUACCAAGGCGACGAUGCGUAGCCGACCUGAGAGGGUGAUCGGCCACACUGGGACUGAGACACGGCCCAGACUCCUACGGGAGGCAGCAGUAGGGAAUCUUCCACAAUGGACGAAAGUCUGAUGGAGCAACGCCGCGUGAGUGAAGAAGGUUUUCGGAUCGUAAAACUCUGUUGUAAGGGAAGAACACGUACGAGAGUAACUGCUCGUACCUUGACGGUACCUUAUUAGAAAGCCACGGCUAACUACGUG